RNAcentral lists this transfer RNA (69 nucleotides) under Hyphasis sp. REN-2018. RNAcentral describes it as "tRNA-Gln". Lineage: Eukaryota; Metazoa; Arthropoda; Insecta; Coleoptera; Chrysomelidae. The record is from RNAcentral.
UAUAUUUUAAUAUAUGAGGUAUAGUAAUUUUUGAUGUUACUAGAAACGGUUUGACUCCGUUAAAUAUAA